CCUACGGGUGGCAGCAGUGGGGAAUAUUGCACAAUGGGGGAAACCCUGAUGCAGCGACGCCGCGUGAGUGAAGAAGUAUUUCGGUACGUAAAGCUCUAUCAGCAGGGAAGAAAAUGACGGUACCUGACUAAGAAGCCCCGGCUAACUACGUGCCAGCAGCCGCGGUAAUACGUAGGGGGCCAGCGUUAUCCGGAUGUACUGGGUGUAAAGGGAGCGUAGACGGCAGCGCAAGUCUGGAGUGAAAUCCCAUGGCUUAACCAUGGAACUGCUUUGGAAACUGGGCAGCUAGAGUGCAGGAGAGGUAAGCGGAAUUCCUAGUGUAGCGGUGAAAUGCGUAGAUAUUAGGAGGAACACCAGUGGCGAAGGCGGCUUACUGGACUGUAACUGACGUUGAGGCUCGAAAGCGUGGGGAGCAAACAGGAUUAGAUACCCGAGUAGUC
This 440-nucleotide ribosomal RNA is filed under the name uncultured bacterium. RNAcentral's name for it is "partial 16S ribosomal RNA". It matches the Rfam family "Bacterial small subunit ribosomal RNA", at positions 338 to 795 of the family's 1533-position model. The record is from RNAcentral.